This 253-nucleotide ribosomal RNA is filed under the name uncultured microorganism. RNAcentral describes it as "partial 16S ribosomal RNA". It matches the Rfam family "Bacterial small subunit ribosomal RNA", at positions 524 to 776 of the family's 1533-position model. The record is from RNAcentral.
UACGUAGGGUGCGAGCGUUAAUCGGAUUUACUGGGCGUAAAGCGUGCGCAGGCGGCCCGUUAAGACAGGUGUGAAAUCCCUGGGCUCAACCUAGGAAUUGCGCUUGUGACUGGCGGGCUCGAGUACGGUAGAGGGGGGUGGAAUUCCUGGUGUAGCAGUGAAAUGCGUAGAUAUCAGGAGGAACACCGAUGGCGAAGGCAGCUCCCUGGGCCUGUACUGACGCUCAUGCACGAAAGCGUGGGGAGCAAACAGG